Molecule: ribosomal RNA, 370 nt
Filed under: uncultured cyanobacterium
Lineage: Bacteria; Bacillati; Cyanobacteriota
Description: bacterial SSU rRNA
Rfam family: Bacterial small subunit ribosomal RNA
Source: RNAcentral
ACGGAGCAAUACCGCGUGAGGGACGAAGGCUCUUGGGUCGUAAACCUCUUUUCUCAGGGAAGAACGCAAUGACGGUACCUGAGGAACAAGCCUCGGCUAACUCCGUGCCAGCAGCCGCGGUAAGACGGAGGAGGCAAGCGUUAUCCGGAAUGAUUGGGCGUAAAGCGUCCGUAGGUGGUUGUGCAAGUCUGCUGUCAAAGCGCGAGGCUUAACCUCGUAAAGGCAGUGGAAACUGAAUAACUAGAGGGUGGUAGGGGUAGAGGGAAUUCCCAGUGUAGCGGUGAAAUGCGUAGAUAUUGGGAAGAACACCAGUGGCGAAAGCGCUCUACUGGGCCACACCUGACACUGAGGGACGAAAGCUAGGGGAGCG